Molecule: ribosomal RNA, 253 nt
Filed under: uncultured bacterium
Lineage: Bacteria
Description: partial 16S ribosomal RNA
Rfam family: Bacterial small subunit ribosomal RNA
Source: RNAcentral
UACGUAUGGGGCAAGCGUUAUCCGGAUUCAUUGGGCGUAAAGAGCGCGUAGGCGGCUUGUUAAGUUAGAUGUGAAAUCCGGGGGCUUAACCCGCGGUCUGCAUCUAAAACUGGCAGGCUUGAGUCUGGUAGAGGAAAGUGGAAUUCCCAGUGUAGCGGUGAAAUGCGCAGAUAUUGGGAGGAACACCAGUGGCGAAGGCGGCUUUCUGGGCCACGACUGACGCUGAGGCGCGAAAGCUAGGGGAGCAAACAGG